Molecule: small RNA, 360 nt
Filed under: Pan troglodytes (chimpanzee)
Lineage: Eukaryota; Metazoa; Chordata; Mammalia; Primates; Hominidae
Description: processed transcript
Source: RNAcentral
UGGUGGGGUUCCUCCGUGAAGAAGACCAUGGUGUGUGCUGGAGGGGACAUCCGCUCCGGCUGCAACGGUGACUCUGGAGGACCCCUCAACUGCCCCACAGAGGAUGGUGGCUGGCAGGUCCAUGGUGUGACCAGCUUUGUUUCUGCCUUUGGCUGCAACACCCGCAGGAAGCCCACGGUGUUCACUCGAGUCUCCGCCUUCAUCGACUGGAUUGAGGAGGGAGGAUAGAGAGACAUGCCAGACAAGAGGCUGCCUGGUGGGGGACGGACCAUAGCAAGCCACUAGAACCAAGGCCCAGCUGGCAGUGCUGAUCGAUCCCACAUCCUGAAUAAAGAAUAAAGAUCUCUCAGAAAAUUCCAA